RNAcentral lists this ribosomal RNA (449 nucleotides) under uncultured bacterium. Its description in RNAcentral is "bacterial SSU rRNA". It matches the Rfam family "Bacterial small subunit ribosomal RNA", at positions 329 to 795 of the family's 1533-position model. The record is from RNAcentral.
UACCAGACUCCUACGGGAGGCAGCAGUCGGGAAUAUUGCGCAAUGGAGGAAACUCUGACGCAGUGACGCCGCGUAUAGGAAGAAGGUCUUCGGAUUGUAAACUAUUGUCGUUAGGGAAGAGAAAGGACAGUACCUAAGGAGGAAGCUCCGGCUAACUACGUGCCAGCAGCCGCGGUAAUACGGAGGAUGCGAGCGUUAUCCGGAUUUAUUGGGUUUAAAGGGUGCGCAGGCGGCACGGCAAGCCGGCGGUAAAAUCGCGGGGCUCAACCCCGCCCAGCCGUCGGAACUGCCGGGCUAGAGUGGGCGAGAAGUGCGCGGAAUGCGCGGUGUAGCGGUAAAAUGCUUAGAUAUCGCGCAGAACCCCGAUUGCGAAGGCAGCGUACCGGCUCCACACUGACGCUGAGGCACGAAAGCGUGGGUAUCGAACAGGAUUAGAUACCCCGGUAGGA